UCUUAUUUGCGCAACAGUUAUGCACUAACUUGGUCAGGACAGGAAUGUAGCAGCCAUACGUACCUCUAUCUGUGUGCGCUUUUUAUUUAUUAGAA
Molecule: signal recognition particle RNA, 95 nt
Filed under: Erysipelotrichaceae bacterium
Lineage: Bacteria; Bacillati; Bacillota; Erysipelotrichia; Erysipelotrichales; Erysipelotrichaceae
Also listed under: 2 other names
Description: signal recognition particle sRNA small type
Rfam family: Bacterial small signal recognition particle RNA
About the family: The signal recognition particle (SRP) is a universally conserved ribonucleoprotein involved in the co-translational targeting of proteins to membranes. Archaeal SRP consists of a 7S RNA and homologues of the eukaryotic SRP19 and SRP54 proteins.
Source: RNAcentral